RNAcentral lists this ribosomal RNA (497 nucleotides) under uncultured bacterium. RNAcentral's name for it is "partial 16S ribosomal RNA". It matches the Rfam family "Bacterial small subunit ribosomal RNA", at positions 28 to 507 of the family's 1533-position model. The record is from RNAcentral.
GAUGAACGCUGGCGGCGUGCCUAAUACAUGCAAGUCGAGCGAACAGACGAGGAGCUUGCUCCUCUGACGUUAGCGGCGGACGGGUGAGUAACACGUGGAUAACCUACCUAUAAGACUGGGAUAACUUCGGGAAACCGGAGCUAAUACCGGAUAAUAUAUUGAACCGCAUGGUUCAAUAGUGAAAGACGGUUUUGCUGUCACUUAUAGAUGAAUCCGCGCCGCAUUAGCUAGUUGGUAAGGUAACGGCUUACCAAGGCAACGAUGCGUAGCCGACCUGAGAGGGUGAUCGGCCACACUGGAACUGAGACACGGUCCGGACUCCUACGGGAGGCAGCAGUAGGGAAUCUUCCGCAAUGGGCGAAAGCUUGACGGAGCAACGCCGCGUGAGUGAUGAAGGUCUUCGGAUCGUAAAACUCUGUUAUUAGGGAAGAACAAAUGUGUAAGUAACUAUGCACGUCUUGACGGUACCUAAUCAGAAAGCCACGGCUAACUACGUG